This 200-nucleotide ribosomal RNA is filed under the name uncultured bacterium. RNAcentral's name for it is "partial 16S ribosomal RNA". It matches the Rfam family "Bacterial small subunit ribosomal RNA", at positions 29 to 256 of the family's 1533-position model. The record is from RNAcentral.
AACGAACGCUGGCGGCAUGCCUAAUACAUGCAAGUCGAACGAACACUUCGGUGUUAGUGGCGCACGGGUGCGUAACGCGUGGGAAUCUACCCUUGGGUUCGGAAUAACAGUUGGAAACGACUGCUAAUACCGGAUGAUGACGUAAGUCCAAAGAUUUAUCGCCCAAGGAUGAGCCCGCGUAGGAUUAGCUAGUUGGUGAG